RNAcentral lists this ribosomal RNA (447 nucleotides) under uncultured bacterium. RNAcentral describes it as "bacterial SSU rRNA". It matches the Rfam family "Bacterial small subunit ribosomal RNA", at positions 28 to 457 of the family's 1533-position model. The record is from RNAcentral.
GAUGAACGCUGGCGGCGUGCUUAAUACAUGCAAGUCGAGCGAAGCGCUUUAACGGAAUUCUCCGGAAGGAAGAUAAAGUGACUGAGCGGCGGACGGGUGAGUAACGCGUGGGUAACCUGCCUCAUACAGGGGGAUAACAGUUAGAAAUGGCUGCUAAUACCGCAUAAGCGCACAGGACCGCAUGGUCUGGUGCGAAAAACUCCGGUGGUAUGGGAUGGACCCGCGUUGGAUUAGGUAGUUGGUGGGGUAACGGCCUACCAAGCCGACGAUCCAUAGCCGGCCUGAGAGGGUGGACGGCCACAUUGGGACUGAGACACGGCCCAGACUCCUACGGGAGGCAGCAGUAGGGAAUAUUGCACAAUGGGGGAAACCCUGAUGCAGCGACGCCGCGUGAAGGAAGAAGUAUCUCGGUAUGUAAACUUCUAUCAGCAGGGAAGACAAUGACGG